This is a long non-coding RNA of Lytechinus variegatus (green sea urchin), 203 nucleotides long. RefSeq lists it as uncharacterized. The transcript has 3 exons. Lineage: Eukaryota; Metazoa; Echinodermata; Echinoidea; Temnopleuroida; Toxopneustidae. The record is from RefSeq and is a predicted model, not a curated record.
GAUUACAUUACAUUACAGUUACAUUCGGAAAUUAUAGUUUCAACUUGAUUAGAUCGCUUUGUGAUUUGUGGUUUGUGGCUCAAGAUUUCGUCCAUUUCAAUAUGGUUAGACAAAGGCCAGACCGCGAAUACGGUCACAGCUCUAGACGAUGCCUUUCCAAGACAGGGGGGCCUCAGGAGAGAAAGUGUAAAAACAAGACGGCC